CCUACGGGGGGCUGCAGUGGGGAAUAUUGGACAAUGGGGGCAACCCUGAUCCAGCCAUGCCGCGUGUGUGAAGAAGGCCCUCGGGUUGUAAAGCACUUUCAGUGAGGAAGAACGCCUGGUGGUUAAUACCCAUCAGGAAAGACAUCACUCACAGAAGAAGCACCGGCUAGCUCCGUGCCAGCAGCCGCGGUAAUACGGAGGGUGCGAGCGUUAAUCGGAAUUACUGGGCGUAAAGCGCGCGUAGGUGGCUUGAUAAGCCGGUUGUGAAAGCCCCGGGCUCAACCUGGGAACGGCAUCCGGAACUGUCAAGCUAGAGUGCAGGAGAGGAAGGUAGAAUUCCCGGUGUAGCGGUGAAAUGCGUAGAGAUCGGGAGGAAUACCAGUGGCGAAGGCGGCCUUCUGGACUGACACUGACGCUGAGGUGCGAAAGCGUGGGUAGCAAACAGGAUUAGAUACCCGUGUAGUC
RNAcentral lists this ribosomal RNA (465 nucleotides) under Vreelandella stevensii. RNAcentral describes it as "partial 16S ribosomal RNA". It matches the Rfam family "Bacterial small subunit ribosomal RNA", at positions 338 to 795 of the family's 1533-position model. Lineage: Bacteria; Pseudomonadati; Pseudomonadota; Gammaproteobacteria; Oceanospirillales; Halomonadaceae. The record is from RNAcentral.